UACGUAGGGCGCAAGCGUUAUCCGGAAUUAUUGGGCGUAAAGAGCUCGUAGGCGGUGUGUCACGUCGGCCGUGAAAACCUGCAGCUUAACUGUGGGCGUGCGGUCGAUACGGGCAUCACUGGAGUUCGGCAGGGGAGACUGGAAUUCCUGGUGUAGCGGUGAAAUGCGCAGAUAUCAGGAGGAACACCGGUGGCGAAGGCGGGUCUCUGGGCCGAUACUGACGCUGAGGAGCGAAAGCGUGGGGAGCAAACAGG
RNAcentral lists this ribosomal RNA (254 nucleotides) under uncultured bacterium. RNAcentral describes it as "partial 16S ribosomal RNA". It matches the Rfam family "Bacterial small subunit ribosomal RNA", at positions 524 to 776 of the family's 1533-position model. The record is from RNAcentral.